AAUAACAAAGUUAGCUUGAAGGACUUUUAUUUAGUCCAAUCCCACUACUGGUGCCUGAAAUCUUCCUCUAACUGCCUUUCUGAGGGAAUGUCUGGCUGAUAUUUCCAGGGGGCGACUGGAGAGUCCCCACAAAGGGCUGUACCUGCAUCUUGCCUAGGGGCAACAACUGAGGAGAGCACGCAGAGCCUGAAAUCCAGCCCUUCUUAAUUCCACAAUUUGCCAACAGGAGGCACCUUUUUCUCCAGUUUCCACUGAGGUAUCCUGUGGUAGCGGCAGCCAUGAAGACCAAAACUAUGUGUGCUUAUAUAAUAAUGUAAGAGAUCACAGUGACCACUUUCCUCAAACUCUGGCUUUAAAUGGAUCUCAAUUUAGGAGAGUCACAGUGAAGUCACAAGUAAUUGUGGUUGGAAGCUGCACUUUUGGAGCACUCAGCCGUGCUGCAUCAUUAAGCAGUGAAUCUUAUCUCUUACCCUGGAAGAUGGCUGAUUGAAAUCAAAGAGAAGCUAAGUUCUAUCAGUGACCCCAACAAAACGCUUGCCUCUUGCCACUCAGGAGUACAAAAAAAGGUCUGAGAUCUCUUUUUGCAUCCAUUGUCUGCUCUCAACGGUUGUAACUUUCUUUAAAUUUUAAGCUGCAACUCUGUUGCACACUGUGAAUAUAAACAGCUACAUAAUGAUGGCUUGUUCAUCCAACUGCCUUGAACAGAAGCAGACCUGAGCUGCUGCAAUCUUGGUGAUGUUCGAUAUUGCGACAAAGGAAGCAAAACAGAGAUGAAGGAAUCCUGUGCAACGAGGGGCCAUUUUCAGGUCCUAGCCAGAUUACAAACUGCCCCUUUCUGGUGAAAACCAUCUGUGACUCAUAAAGCUUCCUUCACUGUUUACUGCACAGCACAGCCUGGAGAGAAACGGAGAUACAAACCAGCAAAUUUGCAAAUCAGAGAGGCUCUUCUGGCUGCAUCAGUAGUCGCAGCCACUUAGGUGUGCAAAAUGCAAUGGAAGAAAGGAAACCUCCUUAGAAACCUGAUGAAAAUUUGUACUAGGUAUGAAAAGUUUGAGAAAUCACCUGGAAGCCCAAGUCCCUUAACAUUGUUUUCAAAGCCAUUAGUGACUUGGACCUUGGUGGCCUCUCUGGGCUCCUUUCUUGCGCCUCCCCACCUGGAACUCCGCGUUGUCUCAGCUUCUGAGCACCCUAUGGUACUCAGUGCGCUCUCUCUUGCGCAAGCCUGUUCCAGGAGGAACAUUCUUGUGUCUGCUCCCUCAGUCUGACCUAAAUAGUCUCCUCUCUCUCCCCUAAUUUACUUAUCUUACCCUAUCAUUAUUCUUAGCACACUGUAUUUAAUUCUGUUCCCUAGUUUACCCUGCUGCUACGCUGCGAGCUCUGACCCAUGUGUCCCGCUCACCAUUCUGUCCCCAAUGCCCCUGGCGCUUAGAAGUCCUUCAGUAAAUAUUUGUUGACUGCAUGAGUUCAUUGCAGAGGCAUUAAGAAAAUUUUGCAUUUAAUUUUUAAAAAAUCAUAGCAGGAUCAAAUCUUGGACAGCACACUCCAGUGCACAAACAUUAUGACUGUCUUCAUUUUCUUUAAAUCAAUUGAAUUAACUCCAAACUCUAGUUCUACCAGAUGGCAGAAAAUUCAGUCUCUGUGAUUUAGGGGCUGGACCCUUCCCUGUGGUUGCACGGAAUCAGAGAGGUUUCUAUGUGAUCCAGGAAAUGGCAGAAAGACCUCUGGGGUCCUUAUGGUGCUGCUCUAGCCCAAGCCUGCAGAAGCCAUGCUGAUCCCUGUUCUUGGGCUCCAAGGGGGUUCAGGAGCUGCUUCUGGAAUCUCCUGACCAGAGCCCAGCUUGCCUGGUCACUACUGGAAGGAAUUCGUUUUGAAGCCUGAUCACUGCCUCCUCUCCCCAACCCCCC
Ailuropoda melanoleuca (giant panda) is the source of this 1904-nucleotide long non-coding RNA. RefSeq lists it as uncharacterized. The transcript has 5 exons. The record is from RefSeq and is a predicted model, not a curated record. NCBI's taxonomy places the organism in Eukaryota, Metazoa, Chordata, Mammalia, Carnivora, Ursidae.